GACGAACGCUGGCGGCGUGCUUAACACAUGCAAGUCGAACGGAAAGGCCCUGCUUUUGUGGGGUGCUCGAGUGGCGAACGGGUGAGUAACACGUGAGUAACCUGCCCUUGACUUUGGGAUAACUUCAGGAAACUGGGGCUAAUACCGGAUAGGAGCUCCUGCUGCAUGGUGGGGGUUGGAAAGUUUCGGCGGUUGGGGAUGGACUCGCGGCUUAUCAGCUUGUUGGUGGGGUAGUGGCUUACCAAGGCUUUGACGGGUAGCCGGCCUGAGAGGGUGACCGGCCACAUUGGGACUAAGAGACGGCCCAGACUCCUACGGGAGGCAGCAGGGGGGAAUAUUGCACAAUGGGCCGAAGCCUGAUGAAGCAACGCCGCGUGCGGGAUGACGGCCUUCGGGGUGUAAACCGCUUUCGCCUGUGACGAAGCGUGAGUGACGGUAAUGGGUAAAGAAGCACCGGCUAACUACGUG
This 468-nucleotide ribosomal RNA is filed under the name uncultured bacterium. Its description in RNAcentral is "partial 16S ribosomal RNA". It matches the Rfam family "Bacterial small subunit ribosomal RNA", at positions 28 to 507 of the family's 1533-position model. The record is from RNAcentral.